This 500-nucleotide ribosomal RNA is filed under the name uncultured bacterium. RNAcentral describes it as "partial 16S ribosomal RNA". It matches the Rfam family "Bacterial small subunit ribosomal RNA", at positions 30 to 523 of the family's 1533-position model. The record is from RNAcentral.
AUUGAACGCUGGCGGCAUGCCUUACACAUGCAAGUCGACCGGCAGCACGGGAGCAAUCCUGGUGGCGAGUGGCGAACGGGUGAGUAAAGUAUCGGAACGUGCCCAGUCGUGGGGGAUAACGUAGCGAAAGUUACGCUAAUACCGCAUACGAUCUAUGGAUGAAAGCGGGGGAUCGCAAGACCUCGCGCGAUUGGAGCGGCCGAUAUCAGAUUAGGUAGUUGGUGGGGUAAAGGCUCACCAAGCCGACGAGCUGUAGCUGGUCUGAGAGGACGACCAGCCACACUGGGACUGAGACACGGCCCAGACUCCUACGGGAGGCAGCAGUGGGGAAUUUUGGACAAUGGGCGAAAGCCUGAUCCAGCCAUGCCGCGUGCAGGAUGAAGGCCUUCGGGUUGUAAACUGCUUUUGUACGGAACGAAAAGGUUUGGGCUAAUAAGCUGAGCUCAUGACGGUACCGUAAGAAUAAGCACCGGCUAACUACGUGCCAGCAGCCGCGGUAA